Molecule: ribosomal RNA, 429 nt
Filed under: Acidobacteriota bacterium
Lineage: Bacteria; Pseudomonadati; Acidobacteriota
Description: Acidobacteria bacterium partial 16S ribosomal RNA
Rfam family: Bacterial small subunit ribosomal RNA
Source: RNAcentral
UGGGGAAUUUUGGUCAAUGGGGGAAACCCUGAUCCAGCCAUCCCGCGUGUGCGAUGAAGGCCUUCGGGUUGUAAAGCACUUUUGGCAGGAAAGAAACGUCAUGGGUUAAUACCCCGUGAAACUGACGGUACCUGCAGAAUAAGCACCGGCUAACUACGUGCCAGCAGCCGCGGUAAUACGUAGGGUGCAAGCGUUAAUCGGAAUUACUGGGCGUAAAGCGUGCGCAGGCGGUUCGGAAAGAAAGAUGUGAAAUCCCAGAGCUCAACUUUAGAACUGCAUUUUUAACUACCGGGCUAGAGUGUGUCAGAGGGAGGAGGAAUUCCGCGUGUAGCAGUGAAAUGCGUAGAUAUGCGGAGGAACACCGAUGGCGAAGGCAGCCUCCUGGGAUAACACUGACGCUCAUGCACGAAAGCGUGGGGAGCAAACAGG